CACAAGCAAUGAUGAGGAUGACUUUAUGUCACAGUCCUGAAAAUACCAUGUGGGUCAUUAAGUCACUAUCUCUUCUGAGCUUGGU
Molecule: small nucleolar RNA, 85 nt
Organism: Rhinichthys klamathensis goyatoka
Lineage: Eukaryota; Metazoa; Chordata; Actinopteri; Cypriniformes; Leuciscidae
Product: small nucleolar RNA SNORD11B
Exons: 1
Source: RefSeq, a predicted model, not a curated record